UGAGUAACCUGCCCUUGACUCUGGGAUAAGCCUGGGAAACUGGGUCUAAUACCGGAUAUGACUCCUCAUCGCAUGGUGGGGGGUGGAAAGCUUUAUUGUGGUUUUGGAUGGACUCGCGGCCUAUCAGCUAGUUGGCGUGGGUAAUGGCCCACCAAGGCGACGACGGGUAGCCGGCCUGAGAGGGUGACCGGCCACACUGGGACUGAGACACGGCCCAGACUCCUACGGGAGGCAG
This 235-nucleotide ribosomal RNA is filed under the name uncultured bacterium. Its description in RNAcentral is "partial 16S ribosomal RNA". It matches the Rfam family "Bacterial small subunit ribosomal RNA", at positions 118 to 351 of the family's 1533-position model. The record is from RNAcentral.